GACGAACGCUGGCGGCGUGGAUUAGGCAUGCAAGUCGAACGGUAUCAUCCUUUCGGGGGUGAGAGAGUGGCGAACUGGUGAGUAACACGUAGGUUAUCUACCCUCAAGACGGGGACAACCCAGGGAAACUUGGGCUAAUACCGGAUGUGAGCAACUUUUUAGUUGUUUGAAAGGUGGCGUAAGCUGUCGCUUGGGGGAUGAGCCUGCGUCCUAUUAGUUAGUUGGUGAGGUAACGGCUCACCUAGGCAAUGAUAGGUAGGCGGCCUUAACGGGUGGUCGCCCACACUGGGAUUGAGAUACGGCCCAGACUCCUACGGGAGGCAGCAGUCGAGAAUAGUCUACAAUGGUCGGAAGACUGAUAGUGCGACGCCGCGUGAACGAUGAAUCCCUUCGGGGUGUAAAGUUCUUUUAUAUGUGAGCAGUGCUUCUUAUAUUAACAGUAUGGGGAAGAGAUAUUAGCAUAUGAAUAAGCAACGGCUAAACUCCGUGCCAGCAGCCGCGGUAAGCUCG
RNAcentral lists this ribosomal RNA (510 nucleotides) under uncultured bacterium. Its description in RNAcentral is "bacterial SSU rRNA". It matches the Rfam family "Bacterial small subunit ribosomal RNA", at positions 28 to 527 of the family's 1533-position model. The record is from RNAcentral.